RNAcentral lists this transfer RNA (72 nucleotides) under Phrynosoma platyrhinos (Desert horned lizard). RNAcentral describes it as "tRNA-OTHER". Lineage: Eukaryota; Metazoa; Chordata; Lepidosauria; Squamata; Phrynosomatidae. The record is from RNAcentral.
GCUAAUAUGGUGUAGUGGUUAGAGCGUUGGACUAUGACUCUGGAGACCAGAGUUCGAAUCCCCACUUGGCCA